Molecule: ribosomal RNA, 618 nt
Filed under: uncultured marine archaeon
Lineage: Archaea
Description: bacterial SSU rRNA
Rfam family: Archaeal small subunit ribosomal RNA
Source: RNAcentral
UGACUGCUAUCGGAUUGAUACUAAGCCAUGCGAGUCAUUGUAGUAAUACAAGGCAGACGGCUCAGUAACGCGUAGUCACCUAACCUAUGGACGGGAAUAACCUCGGGAAACUGAGUAUAAUGCCCGAUAGAACAUUAUGCCUGGAAUGGUUUAUGUUCCAAAUGAUUUAUCGCCGUAGGAUGGGACUGCGGCCUAUCAGUUUGUUGGUGAGGUAAUGGCCCACCAAGACUAUUACAGGUACGGGCUCUGAGAGGAGUAGCCCGGAGAUGGGUACUGAGACACGGACCCAGGCCCUAUGGGGCGCAGCAGGCGAGAAAACUUUGCAAUGUGCGAAAGCACGACAAGGUUAAUCCGAGUGGUUUCUGCUAAAGGAACCUUUUGUCGGUCCUAGAAACACCGAUGAAUAAGGGGUGGGCAAGUUCUGGUGUCAGCCGCCCGCGGUAAAACCAGCACCUCAAGUGGUCAGCGAUGAUUAUUGGGCCUAAAGCAUCCCGUAGCACGGCUCUAUAAGGUUUUCGGUUAAAUCUGUACGCUCAACGUACAGGCUGCCGGGAAUACUGCAGAGCUAGGGGAGGUGGGAGAGGUAGACCGUACUCGGUAGGAAGGGGUAAAAUCCUU